ACGAACGCUGGCGGCGUGCCUAAUCCAUGCCAGUAGAACGCACAGUUUAUACCGUAGCUUGCUACACCAUAGCCUGUGAGUUGCGAACGGGUGAGUAACGCGUAGGUAACCUGCCUGGUAGCGGGGGAUAACUAUUGGAAACGAUAGCUAAUACCGCAUAAUAUUAAUUAUUGCAUGAUAAUUAAUUGAAAGGUGCAAUUGCACCACUACCAGAUGGACCUGCGUUGUAUUAGCUAGUAGGUGAGGUAACGGCUCACCUAGGCGACGAUACAUAGCCGACCUGAGAGGGUGAUCGGCCACACUGGGACUGAGACACGGCCCAGACUCCUACGGGAGGCAGCAGUAGGGAAUCUUCGGCAAUGGACGAAAGUCUGACCGAGCAACGCCGCGUGAGUGAAGAAGGUUUUCGGAUCGUAAAGCUCUGUUGUAAGAGAAGAACGGGUGUGAGAGUGGAAAGUUCACACUGUGACGGUAUCUUACCAGAAAGGGACGGCUAACUACGUG
This 504-nucleotide ribosomal RNA is filed under the name uncultured bacterium. Its description in RNAcentral is "partial 16S ribosomal RNA". It matches the Rfam family "Bacterial small subunit ribosomal RNA", at positions 29 to 507 of the family's 1533-position model. The record is from RNAcentral.